UUCUCCGGACCCACCACGCUGAACACGCCUGAGCUUGUCUGAUCUCAGAAGCUAAGCAGGGUGGGGCCCCGUUAGUACUUGGACGGGGGUAU
RNAcentral lists this ribosomal RNA (92 nucleotides) under Neogale vison (American mink). Lineage: Eukaryota; Metazoa; Chordata; Mammalia; Carnivora; Mustelidae. The record is from RNAcentral.